This is a long non-coding RNA of Saccostrea cuccullata (small rock oyster), 1341 nucleotides long. RefSeq lists it as uncharacterized. NCBI's taxonomy places the organism in Eukaryota, Metazoa, Mollusca, Bivalvia, Ostreida, Ostreidae. The record is from RefSeq and is a predicted model, not a curated record. The transcript has 4 exons.
ACAAUAUAUGGUACCAAAGGAACAAUAGAGAUUGGUGAAAGUUUCUGGACCCCCCUGGAGGCCACUUUUCCCUCCGGUAAAAUGACCCUUGAGCCUCUCACUGGACCAGUGCCAUACAACUUCAUCAACAGUGGGGGACUGAGAUACGAGGCCGACUGCUUCAAAGAAUGUCUCGAAGCAGGGGAGUUAGAAUGCAGGGAAGUGUCAUUCACAGACAGCCAAGCCAUUUACCAAAUUAUUGAUGAAAUUGUGAAGCAGACUGGAAUGAAAGUGAAUUGGUAAUUCCAGUAGUGCAUCAAUGGAAGUAUUCCAAUUAAAGAUGUGAUAAAUAAAAUCUUAAUGAAAUAAGAUCGUGUGGGACUUACAGCUUUAAUUAGUGUUAGAUUGGUGCUUAUGAACUCAAUACCGUACUUACAAAGUAUUAGAAAGGUGCUUAUUUACAAUCAUUUUUAAUUACAUAUACUAAUAAUAUAUAUGAUGAUGAAUGUAAAAAAAAAUAUUUACAUUAUUAUUUUUUAUUUGCAUUUAUACAAUUUUUUAUAAACAUUACAUUGUUGAUGUAAACAUUACAUUUUUGACGUAAUACUUUAUUUUAUUAAGUAUUUUCUAUUUGAAACCUCAGGUAAAAUGUCCAACUUUCAUAAAAGUGAAUACUGUGUACAGGGAAAUUUUCGCCCCCCGUUUUAUUUUUACCCCUUUCGCCUUUGUUGGAAGUGGGUGAAUUUAAAACAGGACGAAUUCAAAGUGAAUAGUGUAAUAUCUUAAACGAAAAUCUUUCUGGGUGAAUUUAAAAUGGGGGCAAACUUGUUUCCAAAUGUGAAAGGGCAAAAAUAACACGGGGCGAAAAUAACCGUGUACAGAAAGUCUUAAGUAUUUUCAAGUUCAAUGUUUUAGACCUUGGAAAGGUCUGCUAAGGUUACUGAUAGAUUUUUGAAUAUCUCUUGUAAGUAAAAAAAAAAUAAUUUUAAUAAUAAAUUUUCAAAAUUCUGCUCCAAUUUGUUUUUCUCAAGAAAAAAGAAUGACAGUAUGUAUUUUGAUUUUUAAAUUUUAUUACAAUAACUUAUAAGCAUCACAAAAUGAUACAGAUGAAAAAUGUUUCACUGAUGUCAAAAAUUAAAGUUGUAGAAUAGGAAAACUUUAUUAGAUGGUGUUUGAGGCAAUUCUCUAAAUAAAAAAAAAAUUGUAAUAAUACACAAAAUAAUUGUAUUCAUGCAAUCUGAAUAUUCUGAUCAAGAUUUUUAAAAUGUUUGUUAGACAUUUAUAAAUUAUUCCGUUUAUUUUACAUGAUUAUUGUGUAUCAGUUGUGAUCAUUGAUUUGAAUAAAAUUCACUUUGAUUGCCC